AUGAACGCUGGCGGCGUGCCUAAUACAUGCAAGUCGAGCGAAUCUAAGGGAGCUUGCUCCCGAAGAUUAGCGGCGGACGGGUGAGUAACACGUGGGCAACCUACCUGUAAGACUGGGAUAACUUCGGGAAACCGGAGCUAAUACCGGAUAACAUAUGAGACCACAUGGUCUUAUAUUAAAAGAUGGCUUCUCGCUAUCACUUACGGAUGGGCCCGCGGCGCAUUAGCUAGUUGGUGAGGUAACGGCUCACCAAGGCAACGAUGCGUAGCCGACCUGAGAGGGUGAUCGGCCACACUGGGACUGAGACACGGCCCAGACUCCUACGGGAGGCAGCAGUAGGGAAUCUUCCGCAAUGGACGAAAGUCUGACGGAGCAACGCCGCGUGAGCGAAGAAGGUCUUCGGAUCGUAAAGCUCUGUUGUUAGGGAAGAACAAGUAUCGUUCGAAUAGGGCGGUACCUUGACGGUACCUAACCAGAAAGCCACGGCUAACUACGUGCCAGCAGCCGCGGUAAUACGUAGGUGGCAAGCGUUAUCCGGAAUUAUUGGGCGUAAAGCGCGCGCAGGCGGUCCUUUAAGUCUGAUGUGAAAGCCCACGGCUCAACCGUGGAGGGUCAUUGGAAACUGGGGGACUUGAGUGCAGAAGAGGAGAGCGGAAUUCCACGUGUAGCGGUGAAAUGCGUAGAGAUGUGGAGGAACACCAGUGGCGAAGGCGGCUCUCUGGUCUGUAACUGACGCUGAGGCGCGAAAGCGUGGGGAGCGAACAGGAUUAGAUACCCUGGUAGUCCACGCCGUAAACGAUGAGUGCUAAGUGUUAGAGGGUUUCCGCCCUUUAGUGCUGAAGUCAACGCAUUAAGCACUCCGCCUGGGGAGUACGGUCGCAAGGCUGAAACUCAA
RNAcentral lists this ribosomal RNA (895 nucleotides) under uncultured Oceanobacillus sp. RNAcentral describes it as "bacterial SSU rRNA". It matches the Rfam family "Bacterial small subunit ribosomal RNA", at positions 29 to 904 of the family's 1533-position model. Lineage: Bacteria; Bacillati; Bacillota; Bacilli; Caryophanales; Bacillaceae. The record is from RNAcentral.